RNAcentral lists this ribosomal RNA (253 nucleotides) under uncultured bacterium. Its description in RNAcentral is "partial 16S ribosomal RNA". It matches the Rfam family "Bacterial small subunit ribosomal RNA", at positions 524 to 776 of the family's 1533-position model. The record is from RNAcentral.
UACGGAGGGGGCGAGCGUUAUUCGGAAUUAUUGGGCGUAAAGGGCGCGUAGGCGGCCCGGUAAGUCAAAGGUGAAAUCCCUCGGCUCAACUGAGGAACUGCCUUUGAAACUGUCGGGCUUGAGGCCGGGAGGGGGUAGCGGAAUUCCCAGUGUAGCGGUGAAAUGCGUAGAUAUCGGAAGGAACGCCGGUGGCGAAAGCGGCGUGCUGGACCUCUUCUGACGCUGAGGCGCGAAAGCCAGGGGAGCGAACGGG